AGCCUACUUAACUUAGUGGUUAGAGUAUCGCUUUCAUACGGCGAGAGUCAUUGGUUCAAAUCCGAUAGUAGGUA
This 74-nucleotide transfer RNA is filed under the name Cyathodium smaragdinum. Its description in RNAcentral is "tRNA-Met". It matches the Rfam family "tRNA". Rfam says of the family: Transfer RNA (tRNA) molecules are approximately 80 nucleotides in length. Their secondary structure includes four short double-helical elements and three loops (D, anti-codon, and T loops). Further hydrogen bonds mediate the characteristic L-shaped molecular structure. tRNAs have two regions of fundamental functional importance: the anti-codon, which is responsible for specific mRNA codon recognition, and the 3' end, to which the tRNAs corresponding amino acid is attached (by aminoacyl-tRNA synthetases). tRNAs cope with the degeneracy of the genetic code in two manners: having more than one tRNA (with a specific anti-codon) for a particular amino acid; and 'wobble' base-pairing, i.e. permitting non-standard base-pairing at the 3rd anti-codon position. Lineage: Eukaryota; Viridiplantae; Streptophyta; Marchantiopsida; Marchantiales; Cyathodiaceae. The record is from RNAcentral.